UUUGGCUACAGACAAGCAUUUAAAACAAAACAAAACAAAACCUCCACGUUAUUUUACUACAUACCUAAGAAUUCUCAAGUACUUUAAACAUUAAACAUGUGUAUGAUUCACUAUAUCCUGCUCCCCGUCUGUUAAAGACGAGCCUUCUGGGAAUAGCAAGAGUUCUUUAAGACUUCAUUUCAAGCAUCAAGAAUCUCUGGUCUAGGUGGAGAGGAAGGACUAUGUGAAAAUACAAAGAAGAAUAUAAGUUCGAACUGGUCUAUCGUCCAGACCACGGCAGAACCUAUAAAGCAUCUGACCUGUUUUGGGACCAAAUUCUUUCUGGAGUUUUGCCAUGGUCAUAUACUGCAAGUCUCCACAAGUUUUAAUUCCCAAAGAUGUCAACUUGGAUUCCAUCGAAUGUCCAACUCCUAGGAAAGGGGACAGAUGGAUGGACAGAUGGGUAGAUAGUUCUUUAACCCUGCACAUAAACUAUUAAAAACAAUUUAGCAAUAUGAAGUAACUUUCAUGCAAAAACAACUAAGUUAAAAUAAUCUCCCUUAAAAUUCUGAAGUGACAUAACAAGCAUCUCAUGAUUAAAGAAUAUUUUUCGUGCAAA
Long non-coding RNA from Camelus dromedarius (Arabian camel), 598 nucleotides. RefSeq lists it as uncharacterized. The record is from RefSeq and is a predicted model, not a curated record. The transcript is spliced from 2 exons. Lineage: Eukaryota; Metazoa; Chordata; Mammalia; Artiodactyla; Camelidae.